CAUUAAUUAAGCAAUACGUUUCUCUUAAUUAUGUAACUGAUUCAAGCAGCUACAGACUGUACAUUUCCUCGUUACCAAUUACCAAGGAAAUGUACGGAUGCCGAUCAGAUGUUGUAACUGCUUGAAGCAGUUACACACAGUAGGCGAUUUCUGUCAUAUAUAAAUUAUCCAAUGACCCUGAUUUAUUUAAUCAGCGUAAUCAAUUUUAUACAGAAUCUAACCUCAGCAGUU
This 231-nucleotide long non-coding RNA is filed under the name Trifolium pratense (red clover). RNAcentral's name for it is "long non-coding RNA (TPRA_LNC003426)". Lineage: Eukaryota; Viridiplantae; Streptophyta; Magnoliopsida; Fabales; Fabaceae. The record is from RNAcentral.